UGGGGAAUUUUGGACAAUGGGCGAAAGCCUGAUCCAGCCAUGCCGCGUGAGUGAAGAAGGCCUUCGGGUUGUAAAGCUCUUUUAGUCGGAAAGAAAGAGUUGCAAUGAAUAAUUGUGAUUUAUGACGGUACCGACAGAAAAAGCACCGGCUAACUACGUGCCAGCAGCCGCGGUAAUACGUAGGGUGCGAGCGUUAAUCGGAAUUACUGGGCGUAAAGGGUGCGCAGGCGGUCUUGCAAGUCUGAUGUGAAAGCCCCGGGCUUAACCUGGGAAUUGCGUUUGAAACUACAAGGCUAGAGUGCAGCAGAGGGGAGUGGAAUUUCAUGUGUAGCAGUGAAAUGCGUAGAGAUGUGGAAGAACACCGAUGGCGAAGGCAGCUCCCUGGGUUGACACUGACGCUCAUGCACGAAAGCGUGGGGAGCAAACA
Molecule: ribosomal RNA, 427 nt
Filed under: uncultured beta proteobacterium
Lineage: Bacteria; Pseudomonadati; Pseudomonadota; Betaproteobacteria
Description: bacterial SSU rRNA
Rfam family: Bacterial small subunit ribosomal RNA
Source: RNAcentral